RNAcentral lists this ribosomal RNA (1405 nucleotides) under uncultured bacterium. Its description in RNAcentral is "16S ribosomal RNA". It matches the Rfam family "Bacterial small subunit ribosomal RNA". The record is from RNAcentral.
AGAGUUUGUUCCUGGCUCAGGAUGAACGCUAGCGACAAGCUUAACACAUGCAAGUCGAGGGGCAGCGGUGGUGAAGGCUUGCCUUUACCAGCCGGCGACCGGCGCACGGGUGAGUAACACGUAUGCAACCUGCCUGCCACAGCCGGAUAAUCGGGAGAAAUUCCGUCUAAUACGGCAUAAUGCACCUAUGGGACAUCCUGUUGGUGCCAAAGGUUGAUUCCGGUGGCGGAUGGGCAUGCGUCGCAUUAGUUAGUUGGCGGUGUAACGGACCACCAAGACGACGAUGCGUAGGGGUUCUGAGUGGAAGGUCCCCCACACUGGUACUGAGACACGGACCAGACUCCUACGGGAGGCAGCAGUGAGGAAUAUUGGUCAAUGGGCGGGAGCCUGAACCAGCCAAGUCGCGUGAGGGAUGACGGCCCUAUGGGUUGUAAACCUCUUUUGCCGGGGAGCAAAGUGCCGCACGUGUGCGGUUUGGAGAGUACCCGGAGAAAAAGCAUCGGCUAACUCCGUGCCAGCAGCCGCGGUAAUACGGAGGAUGCGAGCGUUAUCCGGAUUUAUUGGGUUUAAAGGGUGCGUAGGCGGACGCUUAAGUCAGCGGUAAAAUUGCGGGGCUCAACCUCGUCGAGCCGUUGAAACUGGGUGCCUUGAGUGGGCGAGAAGUACGCGGAAUGCGUGGUGUAGCGGUGAAAUGCAUAGAUAUCACGCAGAACUCCGAUUGCGAAGGCAGCGUACCGGCGCCCAACUGACGCUGAAGCACGAAGGCGUGGGUAUCGAACAGGAUUAGAUACCCUGGUAGUCCACGCAGUAAACGAUGAAUGCUAGUUGUCCGGGGCGAUUGAGUUCUGGGUGACACAGCGAAAGCGUUAAGCAUUCCACCUGGGGAGUACGCCGGCAACGGUGAAACUCAAAGGAAUUGACGGGGGCCCGCACAAGCGGAGGAACAUGUGGUUUAAUUCGAUGAUACGCGAGGAACCUUACCCGGGCUCAAACGCAGGAGGGAUGUUUUUGAAAGGAGGCAGCCAGCAAUGGUCUCCUGCGAGGUGCUGCAUGGUUGUCGUCAGCUCGUGCCGUGAGGUGUCGGCUUAAGUGCCAUAACGAGCGCAACCCCUACCUACAGUUGCCAUCGCGUGAUGGCGGGCACUCUGUGGGGACUGCCUGCGCAAGCAGUGAGGAAGGCGGGGAUGACGUCAAAUCAGCACGGCCCUUACGUCCGGGGCGACACACGUGUUACAAUGGCAGGUACAGCGGGAAGCCACCCGGCGACGGGGCGCGGAACCCGAAAACCUGUCUCAGUUCGGAUUGGAGUCUGCAACCCGACUCCAUGAAGCUGGAUUCGCUAGUAAUCGCGCAUCAGCCACGGCGCGGUGAAUACGUUCCCGGGCCUUGCACACACCGCCCGUCA